CCUACGGGAGGCUGCAGUGGGGGAUAUUGCACAAUGGGGGAAACCCUGAUGCAGCGACACCGCGUGUGGGAAGACGGUCCUCUGGAUUGUAAACCACUGUCCCCAGGGACGAAGAUGACGGUACCUGGGGAGGAAGCCCCGGCUAACUACGUGCCAGCAGCCGCGGUAAUAGGUAGGGAGCGAGCGUGGUCCGGAAUUACUGGGUGUAAGGGGAGCGGAGGCGGGACUGCAAGUCGUGUGUCAAAUCUACCGGCUCAACCGGUAGCCGCACUCCAAACUGCAGUUCUUGAGUGAAGUAGCGGCAGGCGGAAUUCCUAGUGUAGCGGUGAAAUGCGUAGAUAUUAGGAGGAACACCAGUGGCGAAGGCGGCCUGCUGGGCUUUUACUGACGCUGAGGCUCGAAAGUGUGGGGAGCAAACAGGAUUAGAUACCCCAGUAGUC
RNAcentral lists this ribosomal RNA (440 nucleotides) under uncultured bacterium. RNAcentral describes it as "partial 16S ribosomal RNA". It matches the Rfam family "Bacterial small subunit ribosomal RNA", at positions 338 to 795 of the family's 1533-position model. The record is from RNAcentral.